Asparagus officinalis (garden asparagus) is the source of this 413-nucleotide long non-coding RNA. RefSeq lists it as uncharacterized. The transcript has 3 exons. The record is from RefSeq and is a predicted model, not a curated record. NCBI's taxonomy places the organism in Eukaryota, Viridiplantae, Streptophyta, Magnoliopsida, Asparagales, Asparagaceae.
CGUUGUGAAAUUCUAUCCACAUAAAGAAAAUGAGUUUGGAGGAAGAUGUGAAGCUUAUGCAAGUAGCAAAGUGCAUCGAACUCUUCACAGGUGCAGAUCGAGAAGGUUUAUGUACUGAAGCAGGCAUGCUUGCUCUCAGAGAAGAGAUAACUUCAGGUUUAGAUAUCUGUAAUUCUCAAGCAAGAUGUUGAAUGACAUUGAAGUAUCAUCAAUCACAAAUUGCUAGCACUCCUCCACGACCUCUUGGUUCUGGAGCAGGACCUAGCCCUGGGUAGGCACCAGCUCUUGGUAAUGUCAAAAGACAAUCUGGUAGUUGAUUUUGCUAACUGUUCAUUUAGGAGUCUUCUGUUAAAUUUGUUACAUCUAAUUAUGUCGUAGAAUACAUCCUGUUUCACUUUUUUUAUUAAAAAAUU